Non-coding RNA from Triticum aestivum (bread wheat), 135 nucleotides. NCBI's taxonomy places the organism in Eukaryota, Viridiplantae, Streptophyta, Magnoliopsida, Poales, Poaceae. The record is from Rfam.
CUCGUACUCCCUCCGUCCGGAAAUACUUGUCACCGAAAUGAAUAAAAGGAGAUGUAUCUAGACGUAUUUUAGUUAUAGAUACAUCCUUUUUUAUCUAUUUUGAUGACAGGUAUUUCUGGACGGAGGGAGUACAAA